CACGUAGGCGGUCUGUUAUGUCGGAUGUGAAAGCCCUUGGCUUAACUAAGGAAGUGCAUCCGAAACUGGCAGGCUAGAGUACUAAAGAGGGUCGCGGAAUUCCCGGUGUAGAGGUGAAAUUCGUAGAUAUCGGGAGGAACACCGGUGGCGAAGGCGGCGACCUGGGUAGAUACUGACGCUGAGGUGCGAAAGCGUGGGGAGAAGCA
This 206-nucleotide ribosomal RNA is filed under the name uncultured bacterium. RNAcentral describes it as "partial 16S ribosomal RNA". It matches the Rfam family "Bacterial small subunit ribosomal RNA", at positions 568 to 773 of the family's 1533-position model. The record is from RNAcentral.